ACGCUGUGUCAGGCUGCAACAGCCUAAGUUUCUAUUUUCUAUCUGGGCUCCACUCGCAGUAGUAGGAUGCUCAUUGGCAACCCAAGGUGUGUAUGCCCCUACUUCCCCAAGAUGUGUGCUGUUGUGAGGCAUGUAGCACCACUUCUCCUGACUGCUAUAAUCAGUGGAAGAUCUCAUGACAUGGCGUCAUGGUCUCAUGGAAUGGACAUCAUGGGGCUUAUUAGGAACUCUGAGUUCAGCGGGCACCAUGCCGAAAGAGGUCAAUCUCUUCCAAUACACAAUCGCUAAGGUAUGUAUCAAUGUCUAAAGGUUAAAAAAGACCCAGGUUACACCAUAUGGUUUAGGUUGCUCACCUUGGUGGCUGACUAGGCGUUCAAAAAUCUUAGUGAGAGUAUAAAGGACAUUGUUGAUGGUGCAAUAAUGGAACACAACAAGUUGUGUGUGUGUGUGUGUGUGUGUGUGUGUGUGUCGCAUGACCUGGGAGUCUACAUCUAAGAGUUCCUUUCAGUUUUCUAUCAGAAACAUUUCUUUAUAAAAGUUCUGUUGGACACUUAUCUUCUCUUUACUUAUCGUUUCGUGGGACUACGAAAAAGUUCAUCUGUGUGUAACUACAAGGUUCUCGAAGUCCGCCCUCUCAUUGACAGGGUGAAAGUUGUGGAAUUUUUGCUUUAACUGCCUGGAGUAAGAUGACAGGACAUACAAAGAUGCAUUCAAGGUAAGCUCCAGUGAAAUUAGGUGUUCAUAAGACAAUUCUUUCAAGUUGCGACCUACAUUGUGGUGUCUCCGUUCAUCAAGUUCUGAGCACCAGCUCCAGUGAAAUUAGAUGUUCAUCCAGCCAUACUCCUAGGUGGAUUUCUUUGGUGUGCUUAUUAUUGUGUAGUUAGUGGUUAUGCACAUGCCUCAUCAUCUGAUAUUUCUGCAGUAGUUACUGAAAGCAAUCUGAGGACAAAGCUUUGAUUGUUGUUGUAGUUGAAGAUUCAGAGUUGCA
This is a long non-coding RNA of Triticum aestivum (bread wheat), 988 nucleotides long. RefSeq lists it as uncharacterized. Lineage: Eukaryota; Viridiplantae; Streptophyta; Magnoliopsida; Poales; Poaceae. The record is from RefSeq and is a predicted model, not a curated record. The transcript is spliced from 4 exons.